ACACGACACUACAAUCAGGCUGCUAAUACCAAAGAUGCAUACUGCGAAGACACCGGUUAUGCACCUUUGUCUUACAAGUAGAACAGAGAGUGUGCCCAUUGUGACACUGAUGAAUUGGAGGUUUCAUAAAAUUGGUGCAAACCGAGCAUUUGAGCGAUUCAUGGACGCUUAUGGGAUCAAAUCCACAAGAAACUGAUGACUGGAUAUCUUCAUCUUCAAUUCCAUCUGAUGAAGAUACACACUCUGUGCUAUCCAUUUCAAUUGUUGCCAUUUUGGAACAAUCUCAAAUUCCCACAUUCACAAAUCUCAGAUGCCCAAUUCCAAAAAUCCAAUCACUUGGGGAAAUUUUCCUCUUCAAAUCAUCUUCCAGUUCCAAAUAUUCAAUCUACUGCCAAAAUCCUAGAUGCCCAAUCUAGAAAUCCAACCUUUUACCAAAAAAAAAAAAAAAGGGAAAUGUUUUAGGUAUACCAACAACAGGUGACUUUUAAAAAAUUCAAAAAUUUCGUAUCUUACACGAGCUGGCAAUGAGUUCGGUUAUUGUGACGACAAAGCGGGAUGUGUGAAGACGGUUAGAGGAGAGUCGAUAGCUGGAGGAAAAUGGUGGUAGCUUAUAAGAGGCCGGACUGCUUCUAUGAAUGUUCGUACAUGCUCAAUCAGCGGUUACAACUGGAAGAAAUGGAGGCAAUGAGUGAAAGAGAGGAGAGUUUAGGGUGAGACUUACCCAUUUCAUUUUAGGGGGAAG
This 742-nucleotide long non-coding RNA is filed under the name Olea europaea subsp. europaea. The record is from RNAcentral. Lineage: Eukaryota; Viridiplantae; Streptophyta; Magnoliopsida; Lamiales; Oleaceae.